CUAGUACACUUAAAUUUAAUUAAUAACAUUAGAAUAUUAGAAGUUAUGUUCUUUAAAUUUAAAAAAUUUGGCGGUGUUUUAGUCUAGUUAGAGGAACCUGUUUUAUAAAUGAUAUGACACGCAUUAUUUUACUUAUUUUAGUAGAUCAGUUUGUAUACCGUCAUUAUAAGAUAAUUUAGGAGAGAAUAUUAUUGAAAUCGUAUUAUUGAGUAUAUUAGACCAUGGUGCAGCUUAUGGAUAAGUAAACAUGGGUUACAAUAAAAUUUAUUUAAUAUGAAUUAAGUGUUUAAAUAUGCUUAUGAAGGAGGAUUUAAUUGUAAGGGGAGAGUAGGGAGCUUUUCUGAUAAAAGCUCUAAAUUAUGUACAUAUCGCCCGUC
Molecule: ribosomal RNA, 377 nt
Filed under: Lacunicambarus freudensteini
Lineage: Eukaryota; Metazoa; Arthropoda; Malacostraca; Decapoda; Cambaridae
Description: partial small subunit ribosomal RNA
Source: RNAcentral